Molecule: unclassified non-coding RNA, 385 nt
Filed under: uncultured Laccaria
Lineage: Eukaryota; Fungi; Basidiomycota; Agaricomycetes; Agaricales; Tricholomataceae
Description: partial contains 18S rRNA, ITS1, 5.8S rRNA, ITS2 and 28S rRNA
Rfam family: 5.8S ribosomal RNA (bases 191-344)
Source: RNAcentral
UGAGUAAACCUGAUGUGGCUGUUAGCUGGCUUAGGCAUGUGCUCGUCCAUCAUCUUUAUUUCUCCACCUGUGCACAUUUUGUAGACUUGGAUAAUGGCUCUGUCAUUUACAAGACUAUGUUUUCAAUAUACCCAAAGCAUGUUUAAAGAAUGUCAUCAAUAGGAACUUGGUUUCCUAUUAGAAACUAUACAACUUUCAGCAACGGAUCUCUUGGCUCUCGCAUCGAUGAAGAACGCAGCGAAAUGCGUUAAGUAAUGUGAAUUGCAGAAUUCAGUGAAUCAUCGAAUCUUUGAACGCACCUUGCGCUCCUUGGUAUUCCGAGGAGCAUGCCUGUUUGAGUGUCAUUAAAUUCUCAACCUUUCCAUUAAUUUGGUUUGGCUUGGAU